RNAcentral lists this ribosomal RNA (1489 nucleotides) under uncultured bacterium. RNAcentral describes it as "bacterial SSU rRNA". It matches the Rfam family "Bacterial small subunit ribosomal RNA". The record is from RNAcentral.
AGAGUUUGAUCCUGGCUCAGGAUGAACGCUAGCGGCAGGCCUAACACAUGCAAGUCGAGGGGUAGCAGGAAAAAGCUUGCUUUUUCGCUGACGACCGGCGCACGGGUGCGUAACGCGUAUGCAACCUACCUUUUACAGAGGGAUAGCCCAUGGAAACGUGGAUUAAUACCUCAUAAUAUUGCGACUACACCUGUAGAUGUAAUUAAAACUUCGGUGGUAAAAGAUGGGCAUGCGUAAGAUUAGCUAGUUGGUAAGGUAACGGCUUACCAAGGCAACGAUCUUUAGGGGUCCUGAGAGGAUGAUCCCCCACACUGGUACUGAGACACGGACCAGACUCCUACGGGAGGCAGCAGUGAGGAAUAUUGGUCAAUGGGCGAGAGCCUGAACCAGCCAUGCCGCGUGCAGGAAGACGGCCCUAUGGGUUGUAAACUGCUUUUAUAUAGGAAUAAACCCCCCGACGUGUCGGGGGCUGAAUGUACUAUACGAAUAAGGACCGGCUAACUCCGUGCCAGCAGCCGCGGUAAUACGGAGGGUCCAAGCGUUAUCCGGAAUUAUUGGGUUUAAAGGGUCCGCAGGCGGGAUAUUAAGUCAGUGGUGAAAUCCUACAGCUUAACUGUAGAACUGCCAUUGAUACUGAUAUUCUUGAGUAUGCAUGAAGUAGGCGGAAUGUGACAUGUAGCGGUGAAAUGCAUAGAUAUGUCACAGAACACCAAUUGCGAAGGCAGCUUACUAAAACAUAACUGACGCUGAUGGACGAAAGCGUGGGGAGCGAACAGGAUUAGAUACCCUGGUAGUCCACGCAGUAAACGAUGAUCACUAGAUAUUUGCGAUAUACGGUAAGUGUCUUAGCGAAAGCGAUAAGUGAUCCACCUGGGGAGUACGGUCGCAAGAUUGAAACUCAAGGAAUUGACGGGGGCCCGCACAAGCGGUGGAGCAUGUGGUUUAAUUCGAUGAUACGCGAGGAACCUUACCAGGGCUUAAAUGUAGAUUGACAGAUUUGGAAACAAGUCCUUCUUCGGACAAUUUACAAGGUGCUGCAUGGUUGUCGUCAGCUCGUGCCGUGAGGUGUUGGGUUAAGUCCCGCAACGAGCGCAACCCCUAUUUCUAGUUGCUAGCAGGUAAUGCUGAGGACUCUAGAGAAACUGCCAGCGCAAGCUGAGAGGAAGGUGGGGAUGACGUCAAAUCAUCACGGCCCUUACGUCCUGGGCCACACACGUGCUACAAUGGCAGGUACAGAGGGCAGCUACCUAGCGAUAGGAUGCGAAUCUCAAAAGCCUGUCUCAGUUCGGAUCGUAGUCUGCAACUCGACUACGUGAAGCUGGAAUCGCUAGUAAUCGCGCAUCAGCCAUGGCGCGGUGAAUACGUUCCCGGGCCUUGUACACACCGCCCGUCAAGCCAUGGAAGCUGGGGGUGCCCGAAGUCGGUAACCGCAAGGAGCUGCCUAGGGCAAAACCAGUAACUGGGGCUAAGUCGUAACAAGGUAGCCGUA